CUCAAAGGAAUUGACGGGGCCGCACAAGCGGUGGAGUAUGUGGUUUAAUUCGAUGCAACGCGAAGAACCUUACCUGGUCUUGACAUCCCGGAGACCCUUAGGAAACUAAGGGGUGCUUCCAUCUGGAAGAAUCUGGAGACAGGUGCUGCAUGGCUGUCGUCAGCUCGUGUCGUGAGAUGUUGGGUUAAGUCCCGCAACGAGCGCAACCCUUGCCUUUAGUUGCCAGCAGUUCGGCUGGGCACUCUAAAGGGACUGCCGGUGUUAAACCGGAGGAAGGUGGGGAUGACGUCAAGUCCUCAUGGCCUUUAUGACCAGGGCUACACACGUACUACAAUGGCCGAUACAAAGGGCAGCGACACUGCGAGGUGAAGCCAAUCCCGUAAAAUCGGUCUCAGUCCGGAUUGGAGUCUGCAACUCGACUCCAUGAAGUUGGAAUCGCUAGUAAUCGUGGAUCAGCAUGCCACGGUGAAUACGUUCCCGGGCCUU
This 486-nucleotide ribosomal RNA is filed under the name uncultured Desulfobulbus sp. Its description in RNAcentral is "bacterial SSU rRNA". It matches the Rfam family "Bacterial small subunit ribosomal RNA", at positions 900 to 1382 of the family's 1533-position model. Lineage: Bacteria; Pseudomonadati; Thermodesulfobacteriota; Desulfobulbia; Desulfobulbales; Desulfobulbaceae. The record is from RNAcentral.